CUACGGGGCGCUCCAGUGAGGAAUAUUGGACAAUGGGGGCAACCCUGAUCCAGCCAUGCCGCGUGAGUGCUGACGGCCUUAGGGUUGUAAAGCUCUUUCAGUAGUGAAGAUAAUGACGGUAACUACAGAAGAAGCCCCGGCUAACUUCGUGCCAGCAGCCGCGGUAAUACGAAGGGGGCUAGCGUUGUUCGGAAUCACUGGGCGUAAAGCGCGCGUAGGCGGACUUUUAAGUCAGGGGUGAAAUCCCGAGGCUCAACCUCGGAACUGCCUUUGAUACUGGAAGUCUUGAGUUCGAGAGAGGUGAGUGGAAUACCGAGUGUAGAGGUGAAAUUCGUAGAUAUUCGGUGGAACACCAGUGGCGAAGGCGGCUCACUGGCUCGAUACUGACGCUGAGGUGCGAAAGCGUGGGGAGCAAACAGGAUUAGAUACCCCUGUAGUC
Molecule: ribosomal RNA, 439 nt
Filed under: uncultured bacterium
Lineage: Bacteria
Description: partial 16S ribosomal RNA
Rfam family: Bacterial small subunit ribosomal RNA
Source: RNAcentral